This 254-nucleotide ribosomal RNA is filed under the name uncultured bacterium. RNAcentral's name for it is "partial 16S ribosomal RNA". It matches the Rfam family "Bacterial small subunit ribosomal RNA", at positions 524 to 776 of the family's 1533-position model. The record is from RNAcentral.
UACGAAGGGGGCUAGCGUUGUUCGGAAUUACUGGGCGUAAAGCGUAUGUAGGCGGAUCGUUAAGUCGGGGGUGAAAUCCCGAGGCUCAACCUCGGAACUGCCUUCGAUACUGGCGAUCUUCGAGUCCGGGAGAGGUGAGUGGAACUCCGAGUGUAGAGGUGAAAUUCGUAGAUAUUCGGAAGAACACCAGUGGCGAAGGCGGCUCACUGGCCCGGUACUGACGCUGAGGUGCGAAAGCGUGGGGAGCAAACAGG